RNAcentral lists this long non-coding RNA (247 nucleotides) under Dromaius novaehollandiae (emu). Its description in RNAcentral is "lncRNA (ENSDNVG00000004100.1)". Lineage: Eukaryota; Metazoa; Chordata; Aves; Casuariiformes; Dromaiidae. The record is from RNAcentral.
GGUGUUUCCCCAGUAGUGAGGACUGAGAAGUAUGGGGAUGUUCCUGUUCUCUGACUGAAGCGCUCGGAGGUGCCGCAGGCGCGAAAGCCCGGGCAGCGACRCUGCGUCCGGCCCUGCUCCCGCCGGCUCGGGCUGUGCCGGAUGCCCCGGGUGGAUCCAGCCCUGGGGUAKAUCUGUCUGCCUCGGUUUCCAGUCCUAAACGAGGUAAGCCUCAUUCGUAUUCGCUCCUUAUUCCUGAAUCCUCCCU